CAAAGUUAUGUCUAGGUCUUAACCACUUUCUCUUCUUACCAAUCAACAAUCUUGCUUGUCGUAGGAGGUGUUUCCUAGAAGUACUGGGACAUGCAGAUUCUUCUGGCAAUUACUCUCUUCAGAUAAAGAAAGGUAUUCUAUUGAUGCAUGAAGAUCACCAGUAUGAGAAAAUAGAGUCAUCUGAUAAAACAGAAAUGGAAGGAAUACAAGAAUGA
This 215-nucleotide long non-coding RNA is filed under the name Mustela putorius furo (domestic ferret). Its description in RNAcentral is "lncRNA (ENSMPUG00000027221.1)". The record is from RNAcentral. Lineage: Eukaryota; Metazoa; Chordata; Mammalia; Carnivora; Mustelidae.